GAACCUAAUUUUUCUUUAAGGUCAGGGC
This 28-nucleotide small RNA is filed under the name Bombyx mori (domestic silkworm). RNAcentral describes it as "ovarian small RNA-5009". Lineage: Eukaryota; Metazoa; Arthropoda; Insecta; Lepidoptera; Bombycidae. The record is from RNAcentral.